Molecule: ribosomal RNA, 253 nt
Filed under: uncultured bacterium
Lineage: Bacteria
Description: partial 16S ribosomal RNA
Rfam family: Bacterial small subunit ribosomal RNA
Source: RNAcentral
CACGUAGGGCGCAAGCGUUGUCCGGAAUUAUUGGGCGUAAAGAGCUCGUAGGCGGUCUGUUGCGUCCGCUGUGAAAACCCGGGGCUUAACCCCGAGCCUGCAGUGGAUACGGGCAGACUAGAGGUAGGUAGGGGAGAAUGGAAUUCCCGGUGUAGCGGUGAAAUGCGCAGAUAUCGGGAGGAACACCGGUGGCGAAGGCGGUUCUCUGGGACGGUACUGACGCUGAGACGCGAAAGCGUGGGGAGCGAACAGG